RNAcentral lists this ribosomal RNA (251 nucleotides) under uncultured bacterium. Its description in RNAcentral is "partial 16S ribosomal RNA". It matches the Rfam family "Bacterial small subunit ribosomal RNA", at positions 75 to 339 of the family's 1533-position model. The record is from RNAcentral.
CUAGUUUACUAGAUGCUGACGAGUGGCAAACGGGUGAGUAACACGUAGGAAUCUACCCAAUAGCGGGGGAUAGCUCAUCGAAAGGUGGGGUAAUACCGCAUAAGCCCUUCGGGGGAAAGCAUUUAUGCACUAUUGGAGGAGCCUGCGCGCUAUCAGUUAGUUGGUGGGGUAAAAGCCUACCAAGACUACGACGGCUAGCCGAUGUGAGAGCAUGAUCGGCCACAAGGUUACUGAGACACGGAACCUACACC